AGCGUGAAGCCGCCCUCAAGAUAAGAUUUCCCAUCCUUUAUGGAGUAAGAUCCCUUGAAGAUAACGAGGUUGAUAGGUUGGAGGUGUAAGCACAGUAAUGUGUUCAGCUGACCAAUACUAAUAGAUCGAGGGCUUGACCAA
Molecule: ribosomal RNA, 141 nt
Filed under: Anaerotignum sp.
Lineage: Bacteria; Bacillati; Bacillota; Clostridia; Lachnospirales; Anaerotignaceae
Description: partial 23S ribosomal RNA
Rfam family: Bacterial large subunit ribosomal RNA
Source: RNAcentral